GCCAGAGUGGUAUAGUGGUUUGAGUGUUAGACUAGGACUCCAGGAGACUAGAGUUCAAAUCCCUGCUCAGCCA
Molecule: transfer RNA, 73 nt
Filed under: Phrynosoma platyrhinos (Desert horned lizard)
Lineage: Eukaryota; Metazoa; Chordata; Lepidosauria; Squamata; Phrynosomatidae
Description: tRNA-OTHER
Source: RNAcentral